RNAcentral lists this small nucleolar RNA (77 nucleotides) under Wallacemonas collosoma. Its description in RNAcentral is "H/ACA snoRNA h4". The record is from RNAcentral. Lineage: Eukaryota; Euglenozoa; Kinetoplastea; Trypanosomatida; Trypanosomatidae.
GCCAGCAGGCUACCGUGGGUGAGGCGGUUGGGCUAUACCUUGCUGCCGAUACGUCUCAAUCGGGCCUCGCGAGAUUG